Molecule: long non-coding RNA, 1915 nt
Filed under: Anneissia japonica
Lineage: Eukaryota; Metazoa; Echinodermata; Crinoidea; Comatulida; Comatulidae
Description: uncharacterized LOC117116031
Source: RNAcentral
UGUGGAUUUUUUAAUGCAUUUCUGAUAAGAGGGCAUGGCAUUAUUUUUGUUUUGAUUAAGCACUAAACAAUCCUGUUUGCAGCGAAGCAGAUAGAAAAUGUAUUCCUCGUGUCAGGGGAAGACUAGAAAUGUCUGGAAAGAAGGGGGAAUUGAAAGACAACACUAUCUUAGGGGAGGUCUGGCAUGCCCUUGGGAAAUUUUUGUUUUCUAGAAGCCUGAAAAUAACCUCUGAGGCAUUUGGGCGACCAAUAGUUUCUUUUUCUUUCUUACUUUUUUACUCCACCCCCACUUAAAUCUGCCUCUGGAUAUACAUUUAAACAAAUCUCCUCACAUUUUACAAAAAUCUGAACAAUACAGAUAUUGAUAUUUGUUUAAAAUUGGAGAAAAAGAAUGGAUAGUGACAUGAAAUAACCAAUGAAAAAUUGUAUGCAGAGCUAUGAUUCAAUUUAAAAAAAAACAUAGAUUUUGAAAAAAAAUAUUUUGUUUUACUUAUGGGGUGGGGUGGAACAUUCAGACACAUUAUACAGAAAUUAAUCAAUAAAUCAAUCAAUUGGCUAUUUAUAGGCAUAUAUAUCCAAGGGGGAGGUGCUUGUGCUCUACUGUCUGUGAUUUGAGUAAUUACUAAACACAAUUAGUAUGCAAUCAGGCAGAACUUUAUGAAGAGGAAUUUCGUAACUGUCAUAAAAAAAAAACAUUUAUAAAAAUAGAACAAUAACAGUACCUCAUGACCAUCUUCUUCAUUGAGGUCAACAACCAAUGAGUCUUGGUUAUGGUACACCCAUUUCUAAUCCGACAGAUUUCCUCACACAGUUGUUGACAACUAGGAAUAUAAGUAGUCUUGCAACUACCAGCAAAUUCAAGGUAUAUUCAGUCUGCUCACUUGUGUAGUUAACCAUAUGUUGAAAUAUUUUAAACUGCUGUAUUGUUUUCAACUUGGUUUCGGAAUAUAUUUCUUGAAUAUCUGAAGACAUAAACUUCAAUUUCUAAAGAAUACCUGAUUUAGAAGAUUUCUUAUCUUGUCAUUGAGUAUCAGAUACCACAAUGCCCAGUCUAGUUGGCAUACUGCGUGCUAUUUGUUGGCUUUUGAUCCUAAUAUUCAUCGCUUGGCCUGUGGCAGGAUUUAUCGCAGGAUUGUACAUCUUCCUCCUUCCGUUUGCCGUCUGCAUUGUGUUUUGCAAAACUAUCGUUGAUUUUCUAGAAACCAUUAUAAAAUUACCGUACACUGUGGCGGACAAUAUGAGACAGAUGAAACCAUUGUGUAACUAGGGAACCUGACGACUGCAUAAUUAAUGAGGAUAUAUAACAUCUGUAUUCAAUUAUCAAGUAGUAUUAUUCAAUGAGCUAAAAAAUUUUGUUUAUCUGAAUUUAUUAGAAAUUAUGUUCUUACAAAUCUUGUAAUUUUUGUAAUUAUUUUUUAUCAAACUACUGUUAAUGUUAUUAGAAUUAGAUGCAUUGAUCAAUUAUCAGUGUUAUCAUUAUCUCAUGGUCUCUACGAUCAUUACCUAUUAUCAUCAUCCCAACCAUAAUAUUAUCUUUAUAAUCUUAUUCUUAUGUAUUUUAAAAAUUAUCAAUUAUUAAUUAAUUAGUAACUUUUUGUUUGAUACAAUCUUACAAAUUUUGUGUGUAAUUAUUUUAGAUCAUUACUGUUAAUGUUAAUUAGUUGCAUUAACUAAAUUAUUAAAUCAUUAUCACUUACCAUCAUUAUCAUCUUCAUCAUCAUUACUACCAUCUCUUGGUCGUUAUUAAUAUCUCUAUGAUCAUUAUUAUCAUCUUAACCAUCAUAUCUUCAUCAUCACCAUUUCUUAUCAAAAAAAUGGGAUAAUAUACGGUGCUCCUCUGUUUGCACAAAAGUAUUUAAUGAUAUUUCUUUGUAAUAAGUUUUGUCAAUAAAUAAUGUCUUUAAAAAAAUUGAAAA